CAGACUGCUUUUCUAACGGAAAUAUUUUAAUUCUCUUUGUAGUUUUGGUGUUUUUUUUACACUGUUGAAUAUUCAACAAAAUGGAAAAUUAACUACUAAGAUAAUUAAAGUUUUGCUCUCUCCGCUGUUAAAACAUAGAACAUCCUGUUGUUUUUUUAAAAAAUGUUUUUAUAAUGAAGUGAUUGAUUGUUUUACUCUAAAGAUGUCAACCAGUAAGGACGCCGAAACUCUUAGAUUGCUCCGACAACUCCUGAAUUUGGAGGAGACACCGAGACCUCCCCGGAGAGCAAGGGUUGAAAAUGCGGGUAGGAAUUUAUAUCGGAACCGUAGACGCCAUACCGAAACCGAGAGUUGACUUCUCUUGAAAACUUGGCGGGUUCAUCAAACGCAACUACGCCGAUGAUAAAGAUGAUGCCGAUUUGGCCAAUGACAAUGCCCUCGGCAAAUGCAUCAUCGGCAUUUUUAACAUCAUUCGGUUAUGGCUGGUAUCCCUACAUGCCAUUCCAAACUCUGCCGGCUGCAGGCUCAAAAAGUGAGUCUCCACAGCCCGAACGGAUUCCAGAAGCCGAGCCCGAACGGGUGCUUACUGCACAGGCUGCAGCACUAGAGGGCCAACAAUGCGAUCAGCCAAAAGAAUAAUUUAAAAUAAUUAAAAAAAAUAAAAAAGUAAUAAAAUUAAUUAAAUAAAU
Lucilia cuprina (Australian sheep blowfly) is the source of this 689-nucleotide long non-coding RNA. RefSeq lists it as uncharacterized. Lineage: Eukaryota; Metazoa; Arthropoda; Insecta; Diptera; Calliphoridae. The transcript has 3 exons. The record is from RefSeq and is a predicted model, not a curated record.